Molecule: non-coding RNA, 852 nt
Organism: Punica granatum (pomegranate)
Lineage: Eukaryota; Viridiplantae; Streptophyta; Magnoliopsida; Myrtales; Lythraceae
Source: RefSeq, a predicted model, not a curated record
UUCCUCCUCCUCCUCCUCCUCCUCCCCGGUUUUCUCCUCAAAAUUUCAGCAAUCGUCCUAACCUGAUCUCGAUCCGCUCGCGAAGCCUGCAGAUGCGGUGAAAUGUCUUUGAGCUAGCUUCCUUCCAUCUUUGGAGUAGCUGUCUCUUUCUCAUAGUUUCUUCCGCAAUUGUAUAGAACAUAGACUGCAAGCUCAGAUAACUGAAGGGAAAGAAAAUGACGAAGAAACAAAUAUCUAAGCGUAACUUGCAUGCAUGGAAUCUUAGAAAAGGUAAUAACUCCUCUUAAGUAAAUAACCACGAAGAAUAUCUAUGGCACUAUUGUUGUCCAACAGUACAAAUUAAUUAGGCAGAACUUACUGAUAAGCCUGUUUUCAAACUGAAGUUGUACCUCUCUUUUCAUGGUUUUGUUUCACCCUUGGUCUGGCCUUUUUUUUUUUUUUGUACAUAUAGAUUGCAGCUUUGUAAAGAAAGAGAACGGGUGCAAACCUACCUAUACAAUGGUCACCAUGUAUAUACAGAAGAAUGUGGGACUCUACGACUUGAGAGAGUACUUAUAGAUUAUAGUUCCCUGUGAGUCAGAUCACCAGAUCCAGAAACUGGCAUCAGUGUGAAACCCUUCCCCCUUCCUCAUCUGCAUGAACUUGAUGGCCUGUAUUCCUCUCGUUUGGCUGUGAAAAUGAUUGGAACGCGCUCAGUCCUUGUGCUGUCCGCUCUGCUCCGUAUGGUCCUGAUCGUGUAUGGUGAAUGGCAAGACUGUUGGGAAUUGAUGUAUGCCCUAGAGGCAAUCUAUAAUCAGUUCUGUAAUAUGAUAUCUAUUUCAUUAUAUUACGAGGCAUAUCUGUUAUUGAGUA